CCCCUAGACGUUCUGGGCUGCACGCGCGCUACAAUAAUACGCACAGCGAGUAUCACCGAGCUCGAAAGGGCAAGGUAAACAAUAGAAAAGGUACUGUAAUGGUUAUAGAUCCUUGUAAUUAUUGAUCUUCAACGAGGAAUUCCUAGUAAGUAUGUGUCAUCAUCACGCACUGAUUACGUCCCUGCCCUUUGUACACCCCGCCCGUCGCUCCUACCGAUUGGGUGAGCCGAUGAAACUCUCGGAUGUAGGCUAUUCAUAGCCCGCAGAAGAGAUUUGAAUCGUAGCGCUUAGAGGAAGGAGAAGUCGUAACA
RNAcentral lists this ribosomal RNA (311 nucleotides) under uncultured eukaryote. RNAcentral's name for it is "partial 18S ribosomal RNA". It matches the Rfam family "Eukaryotic small subunit ribosomal RNA", at positions 1470 to 1796 of the family's 1831-position model. The record is from RNAcentral.